Molecule: ribosomal RNA, 496 nt
Filed under: Anatololacerta sp. CI-2014a
Lineage: Eukaryota; Metazoa; Chordata; Lepidosauria; Squamata; Lacertidae
Description: partial 16S ribosomal RNA
Rfam family: Bacterial large subunit ribosomal RNA
Source: RNAcentral
GCCUGCCCAGUGACUCUUUAAACGGCCGCGGUAUCCUAACCGUGCAAAGGUAGCAUAAUCACUUGUCCCUUAAAUCGGGACUGGAAUGAACGGCUAAAUGAGGACUAAACUGUCUCUUACAGGCUAGCCAAUGAAAUUGAUUUUCCAGUACAAAAGCUGGAAUAUAACCACAAGACGAGAAGACCCUGUGGAGCUUACAAACCAAAUUCACCAAACAUGUCUUUAUCGGUUUUCAGUUGGGGCGACUUUGGAGUAAAAAACAACCUCCAAACACCAAACUAAUUAAGAACAACAUAUCAAAAUAUAUCUGUAAUGACCCAGCAACCCUGUGGUUGUCUGAUUAAUGAACCAAGUUACCCCAGGGAAUAACAGCGCCAUCCCCUUCUAGAGUUCCUAUCGACAAGGGGGUUUACGACCUCGAUGUUGGAUCAGGACACCCCAAUGGUGCAGCCGCCAUUAACGGUUCGUUUGUUCAACGAUUAAAGUCCAACGUGAU